AGUCGAACGAACUCUGGUAUUGAUUGGUGCUUGCAUCAUGAUUUACAUUUGAGUGAGUGGCGAACUGGUGAGUAACACGUGGGAAACCUGCCCAGAAGCGGGGGAUAACACCUGGAAACAGAUGCUAAUACCGCAUAACAACUUGGACCGCAUGGUCCGAGCUUGAAAGAUGGCUUCGGCUAUCACUUUUGGAUGGUCCCGCGGCGUAUUAGCUAGAUGGUGGGGUAACGGCUCACCAUGGCAAUGAUACGUAGCCGACCUGAGAGGGUAAUCGGCCACAUUGGGACUGAGACACGGCCCAAACUCCUACGGGAGGCAGCAGUAGGGAAUCUUCCACAAUGGACGAAAGUCUGAUGGAGCAACGCCGCGUGAGUGAAGAAGGGUUUCGGCUCGUAAAACUCUGUUGUUAAAGAAGAACAUAUCUGAGAGUAACUGUUCAGGUAUUGACGGUAUUUAACCAGAAAGCCACGGCUAACUACGUGCCAGCAGCCGCGGUAAUACGUAGGUGGCAAGCGUUGUCCGGAUUUAUUGGGCGUAAAGCGAGCGCAGGCGGUUUUUUAAGUCUGAUGUGAAAGCCUUCGGCUCAACCGAAGAAGUGCAUCGGAAACUGGGAAACUUGAGUGCAGAAGAGGACAGUGGAACUCCAUGUGUAGCGGUGAAAUGCGUAGAUAUAUGGAAGAACACCAGUGGCGAAGGCGGCUGUCUGGUCUGUAACUGACGCUGAGGCUCGAAAGUAUGGGUAGCAAACAGGAUUAGAUACCCUGGUAGUCCAUACCGUAAACGAUGAAUGCUAAGUGUUGGAGGGUUUCCGCCCUUCAGUGCUGCAGCUAACGCAUUAAGCAUUCCGCCUGGGGAGUACGGCCGCAAGGCUGAAACUCAAAGGAAUUGACGGGGGCCCGCACAAGCGGUGGAGCAUGUGGUUUAAUUCGAAGCUACGCGAAGAACCUUACCAGGUCUUGACAUACUAUGCAAAUCUAAGAGAUUAGACGUUCCCUUCGGGGACAUGGAUACAGGUGGUGCAUGGUUGUCGUCAGCUCGUGUCGUGAGAUGUUGGGUUAAGUCCCGCAACGAGCGCAACCCUUAUUAUCAGUUGCCAGCAUUAAGUUGGGCACUCUGGUGAGACUGCCGGUGACAAACCGGAGGAAGGUGGGGAUGACGUCAAAUCAUCAUGCCCCUUAUGACCUGGGCUACACACGUGCUACAAUGGAUGGUACAACGAGUUGCGAACUCGCGAGAGUAAGCUAAUCUCUUAAAGCCAUUCUCAGUUCGGAUUGUAGGCUGCAACUCGCCUACAUGAAGUCGGAAUCGCUAGUAAUCGCGGAUCAGCAUGCCGCGGUGAAUACGUUCCCGGGCCUUGUCACACCGCCCGUCACACCAUGAGAGUUUGUAACACCCAAAGUCGGUGGGGUAACCUUUUAGGAACCAGCCGCCUAA
Molecule: ribosomal RNA, 1434 nt
Filed under: Lactiplantibacillus plantarum
Lineage: Bacteria; Bacillati; Bacillota; Bacilli; Lactobacillales; Lactobacillaceae
Description: bacterial SSU rRNA
Rfam family: Bacterial small subunit ribosomal RNA
Source: RNAcentral